AGGGAUCAUUACAGAGUUCAUGCCCUCCGGGUAGAUCUCCCACCCACUGUUAUCACUACUCUCGUUGCUUUGGCGGGCCGCUGGGCCCUGCCCGGCCGCCGGCCCCGGCUGGCGCGUGCCCGCCAGAGACCUCACAGACUCUGAAUGUUAGUGUCGUCCGAGUAACUAUACAAUCGUUAAAACUUUCAACAACGGAUCUCUUGGUUCUGGCAUCGAUGAAGAACGCAGCGAAAUGCGAUAAGUAAUGCGAAUUGCAGAAUUCAGUGAGUCAUCGAAUCUUUGAACGCACAUUGCGCCCUGUGGUAUUCCGCAGGGCAUGCCUGUUCGAGCGUCAUUUCAACCCUCAAGCCUCGCUUGGUGUUGGGCCCUGCCCGCCGCGGCCGGCCCUAAAGACAGUGGCGGCGCCGCCUGGCCCUCAGCGUAGUACAGCUCUCGCUCCAGGGUCCGGCGGCAGCCUGCCAGAACCCCCCAACUCUGUGGUUGACCUCGGAUCAGGUAGGGAUACCCGCUGAACUUAA
Molecule: unclassified non-coding RNA, 518 nt
Filed under: Oidiodendron sp. 1 KO-2013
Lineage: Eukaryota; Fungi; Ascomycota; Leotiomycetes; Myxotrichaceae
Description: partial contains ITS1, 5.8S rRNA and ITS2
Rfam family: 5.8S ribosomal RNA (bases 181-334)
Source: RNAcentral